This 497-nucleotide ribosomal RNA is filed under the name uncultured bacterium. RNAcentral's name for it is "partial 16S ribosomal RNA". It matches the Rfam family "Bacterial small subunit ribosomal RNA", at positions 28 to 507 of the family's 1533-position model. The record is from RNAcentral.
GAUGAACGCUGGCGGCGUGCCUAAUACAUGCAAGUCGAGCGAACAGACGAGGAGCUUGCUCCUCUGACGUUAGCGGCGGACGGGUGAGUAACACGUGGAUAACCUACCUAUAAGACUGGGAUAACUUCGGGAAACCGGAGCUAAUACCGGAUAACAUGUUGAACCGCAUGGAUCAACAGUGAAAGACGGUCUUGCUGUCACUUAUAGAUGGAUCCGCGGCGCAUUAGCACGUUGGUAAGGUAACGGCUUACCAAGGCAACGAUGCGUAGCCGACCUGAGAGGGUGAGCGGCCACACUGGGACUGAGACACGGUACAGACUCCUACAGGAGGCAGCAUUAGGGAAUCUUCAGCAAUGGGCGAAAGCCUGACGGAGCAACGCCGCGUGAGUGAAGAAGGUCUUCGGAUCGUAAAACUCUGUUAUUAGGGAAGAACAAAUGUGUAAGUAACUAUGCACGUCUUGACGGUACCUAAUCAGAAAGCCACGGCUAACUACGUG